CAGUCGCCGCGGGAAUACGUAGGGUGCGAGCGUUAAUCGGAAUUACUGGGCGUAAAGCGUGCGCAGGCGGUUCGUUAAGACAGAUGUGAAAUCCCCGGGCUUAACCUGGGAACUGCAUUUGUGACUGGCGAGCUAGAGUACGGCAGAGGGGGGCAGAAUUCCACGUGUAGCAGUGAAAUGCGUAGAGAUGUGGAGGAAUACCGAUGGCGAAGGCGGCUACCUGGACUGACACUGACACUGAGGCGCGAAAGCGUGGGGAGCAAACAGGAUUAGAUACCCCCGUAGUCCCUGUCUCUUAUAC
RNAcentral lists this ribosomal RNA (301 nucleotides) under uncultured bacterium. RNAcentral's name for it is "partial 16S ribosomal RNA". It matches the Rfam family "Bacterial small subunit ribosomal RNA", at positions 509 to 807 of the family's 1533-position model. The record is from RNAcentral.